GGAACGUGGGGGAAAGGUUUUCCAUAUAGACAUUCCUGAAGGAGAUGUCAUGUUCCGGGGUGCUGGGAUUCCGCAGAGCAGGAGUCUCUGGCCAUUUGUAAUCGGGUCGUGAAAGAGUAGAUUCUGGAAAACCAAGACACUGCUUCAAACCAUCAGGUUAGAGUCAUUGAUAAAAGUUUAGCACCUCCGUUCUAAUCGGAAUUAGCGCGCCUGAGAAAACCAGCAUGUAAUUUGGCAAGAUCUGAGGCAAUUACUUAAAAAGAGGAGCAGAUGUAAUUGAGCAUGCGACCCUGUCAUCCUGUCACCGGCAGAGCAGGGCUUCUCUUCUUAAUUUUCUUUACACAAAACUCAUGAAAUGUGGCCGAUUGGUAGGGCUGCAGCAUUCAGUUUGCUUGAUUUCCUUUUUGGUCAUUUCUCAACAUGGACAGCAAACAACCUCAACCACCUCGGAAAAGUUUGACCGUUACUUCGAGGUAAAAAGUCUUUUCACCCGGUUAGUUUGCUAAGUUUGACAGGAAUGACCAGUCAGCCUCCAAGUUAGUGAACUCUGAAUUUAAACAAGCUGGAGCUAGCUCAUCUGCCUUUACCAGCGGAGUCAAACACUUGCCCUGAAUUAAUAUAUGCAUUCUAUAUUUCCAAGAGAAUCAAAUGACAAGUUCUUAUAAAGUUUGCCUUGCGUUCGCUAAGGGAAAGAAAAGAAAAGAAAAGGAAAGGAAAGGAAAGGAAAGGAAAGAAGAGAAAAGAAAAGAAGAGAAAAAGAAAAGAAAAGAAAAGAAAAAAGAAAAGAAAAGAAAAGAAAAGAAAAGAAAAGAAAAGAAAAAGGCUUUUGUCGCGGAGACAGCCUGAAAACGCAUCCCAUAUGAGACCCAAUGCUUUCCUUGUCAGGUGGUUCACUGAACUCCAAUGUGAGGGUCAGUUUUGGUCAACUCUUUACCCCUGCAUAACCUGAGUCCUUAAACAAUUUAUACCUCCUUACAUGCGGUCCUGCACAGAAGGCUUUCCCAUUUUGUUUUCAACCUAUUCCAAUUCAAAUCCUUUCCUGAAGUAGUGUGAAAGGGACCCCCAGGCAAUGGUGAAGAUUGUUCUCCCCUUUCAAGGCAGCAGGCAUUUGCUAAGUUUCGGGGGAGCCACCUGUCUUAAUUGUAUUUCCUGCUCUUGCGUGGCUUUUGUUUGCAAUAAAAGAACUCAUCUCAGGUGAGUUAACCUCGCUUUUUAGAGAGGGCACCUGCA
This is a long non-coding RNA of Rattus norvegicus (Norway rat), 1230 nucleotides long. RefSeq lists it as uncharacterized. NCBI's taxonomy places the organism in Eukaryota, Metazoa, Chordata, Mammalia, Rodentia, Muridae. The record is from RefSeq and is a predicted model, not a curated record.